GAUGAACGCUGGCGGCGUGCCUAAUACAUGCAAGUCGAGCGAACGGACGAGAAGCUUGCUUUUCUGAUGUUAGCGGCGGACGGGUGAGUAACACGUGGAUAACCUACCUAUAAUACUGGGAUAACUUCGGGAAACCGGAGCUAAUACCGGAUAAUAUUUUGAACCGCAUGGUUCAAAAGUGAAAGACGGUCUUGCUGUCACUUAUAGAUGGAUCCGCGCUGGAUUAGCUAGUUGGUAAGGUAACGGCUUACCAAGGCAACGAUGCAUAGCCGACCUGAGAGGGUGAUCAGCCACACUGGAACUGAGACACGGUCCAGACUCCUACGGGAGGCAGCAGUAGGGAAUCUUCCGCAAUGGGCGCAAGCCUGACGGAGCCACGCCGCGUGAGUGAUGAAGGUCUUCGGAUCGUAAAACUCUGUUAUUAGGGAAGAACAUAUGUGUAAGUAACUGUGAACAUCUUGACGGUACCUAAUCAGAAAGCCACGGCUAACUACGUG
This 497-nucleotide ribosomal RNA is filed under the name uncultured bacterium. RNAcentral describes it as "partial 16S ribosomal RNA". It matches the Rfam family "Bacterial small subunit ribosomal RNA", at positions 28 to 507 of the family's 1533-position model. The record is from RNAcentral.